CCUACGGGAGGCAGCAGUGAGGAAUAUUGGUCAAUGGACGAGAGUCUGAACCAGCCAAGUAGCGUGAAGGAUGACUGCCCUCUGGGUUGUAAACUUCUUUUAUAAAGGAAUAAAGUGAGGCACGUGUGCCUUUUUGUAUGUACUUUAUGAAUAAGGAUCGGCUAACUCCGUGCCAGCAGCCGCGGUAAUACGGAGGAGCCGAGCGUUAUCCGGAUUUAUUGGGUUUAAAGGGAGCGUAGAUGGGUUGUGAAGUCAGGUGUGAAAGUGUGCGGCUCAACCGUAAAAUUGCAAUUGAUACUGGCAGUCUUGAGUACAGGUGAGGGAGGCGGAAUUCGUGGUGUAGCGGUGAAAUGCUUAGAUAUCACGAAGAACUCCGAUUGCGAAGGCAGCUUACUAAACUGCCACUGACAUUGAUGCUCGAAAGUGUGGGGAUCAAACAGGAUUAGAUACCCUAGUAGUC
This 460-nucleotide ribosomal RNA is filed under the name uncultured bacterium. RNAcentral describes it as "partial 16S ribosomal RNA". It matches the Rfam family "Bacterial small subunit ribosomal RNA", at positions 338 to 795 of the family's 1533-position model. The record is from RNAcentral.